This 73-nucleotide transfer RNA is filed under the name Bos taurus (domestic cattle). It matches the Rfam family "tRNA". From Rfam's summary of the family: Transfer RNA (tRNA) molecules are approximately 80 nucleotides in length. Their secondary structure includes four short double-helical elements and three loops (D, anti-codon, and T loops). Further hydrogen bonds mediate the characteristic L-shaped molecular structure. tRNAs have two regions of fundamental functional importance: the anti-codon, which is responsible for specific mRNA codon recognition, and the 3' end, to which the tRNAs corresponding amino acid is attached (by aminoacyl-tRNA synthetases). tRNAs cope with the degeneracy of the genetic code in two manners: having more than one tRNA (with a specific anti-codon) for a particular amino acid; and 'wobble' base-pairing, i.e. permitting non-standard base-pairing at the 3rd anti-codon position. Lineage: Eukaryota; Metazoa; Chordata; Mammalia; Artiodactyla; Bovidae. RNAcentral also lists the same sequence under 4 other names. The record is from Rfam by way of RNAcentral.
UCCCUGAUGGUCCAGUGGCUAGGACUCCAUGUUCCCAAUGGAGGGGGCCUGGGUUCAAUCCCUGGUCAGAGAU